This 249-nucleotide long non-coding RNA is filed under the name Arabidopsis thaliana (thale cress). RNAcentral's name for it is "ncRNA (AT2G22955)". Lineage: Eukaryota; Viridiplantae; Streptophyta; Magnoliopsida; Brassicales; Brassicaceae. The record is from RNAcentral.
CAUAACCUUCAUUAUUAUGAGAACAAUACACAAUUCUUCAAAUAUCUCUCUUCACUCCAUUAUGAUUACCCGACGAACUAAAACACAUAUUUGGAUUGAUAAGGAAAAAAAGAGAAAAUUAUACAAACCCGGUUUCAAGUUCGAAAGGAAGAGGGCCUUCAAAACCGGGAAGAAACUUGACGAUAGAGCCAGAUUCAGCAUGAUGUCUUAAAACAAGUAAAAGAAGAAGCAGCAACUUGGGUGAAAAAG